RNAcentral lists this ribosomal RNA (253 nucleotides) under uncultured bacterium. RNAcentral's name for it is "partial 16S ribosomal RNA". It matches the Rfam family "Bacterial small subunit ribosomal RNA", at positions 524 to 776 of the family's 1533-position model. The record is from RNAcentral.
UACGUAGGUGGCGAGCGUUGUCCGGAUUUACUGGGCGUAAAGGGUGCGUAGGCGGUCGCGCAAGUCGGAUGUGAAAUCUCAGGGCUCAACCCUGAAACUGCAUUCGAUACUGCGUGGCUAGAGUGCUGGAGGGGAGACUGGAAUUUACGGUGUAGCAGUGAAAUGCGUAGAUAUCGUAAGGAAGACCAGUGGCGAAGGCGAGUCUCUGGACAGCAACUGACGCUGAGGCACGAAGGCCAGGGGAGCAAACGGG